ACGGGGUGCAGCAGGGGAGAAAACUUUGCAAUGUGCGAAAGCACGACAAGGUUAAUCCGAGUGAUUUCUGCUAAAGGAAUCUUUCGUCAGUCCUAGAAACACUGUUGAAUAAGGGGUGGGCAAGUUCUGGUGUCAGCCGCCGCGGUAAAACCAGCACCUCAAGUGGUCAGGAUGAUUAUUGGGCCUAAAGCAUCCGUAGCCUGUUUUGUCAGUUUUCGGUUAAAUCCAUACGCUCAACGUAUGGGCUGCCGGAAAUACUGCAAAACUAGGGAGUGGGAGAGGUAGACGGUACUCGGGGGGAAGGGGUAAAAUCCUUUGAUCUCUCGAUGACCACCUGUGGCGAAGGCGGUCUACCAGAACACGUCCGACGGUGAGGGAUGAAAGCUGGGGGAGCAAACCGGAUUAGAUACCCGGGUAGUCCCAGCUGUAGACUAUGCAAACUCAGUGAUGCAUUGGCUUGAUGCCAAUGCAGUGUUGCAGGGAAGUCGUUAAGUUUGCCGCCUGGGAAGUACGUACGCAAGUAUGAAACUUAAAGGAAUUGGCGGGGGAGCAC
This 553-nucleotide ribosomal RNA is filed under the name uncultured crenarchaeote. RNAcentral describes it as "bacterial SSU rRNA". It matches the Rfam family "Archaeal small subunit ribosomal RNA", at positions 325 to 879 of the family's 1478-position model. Lineage: Archaea; Thermoproteati; Thermoproteota. The record is from RNAcentral.